RNAcentral lists this transfer RNA (64 nucleotides) under Formicomus sp. FOR01. RNAcentral's name for it is "tRNA-His". Lineage: Eukaryota; Metazoa; Arthropoda; Insecta; Coleoptera; Anthicidae. The record is from RNAcentral.
AUUUGAAUAGUUUAAUUUAAAAUAUUGAUUUGUGGAGUCAAAGAUAUACUUUGUGUUUUAAAUA